GAGAAGUAAGGCCUGGUGGCUGCUAAGGAGGUGCUCGCCGGCGAGCGGGCUCCGGCGGCCGCCUAGCGCGCGGAGUUGGAUCGGGGCGCAUCCCCGCGGCCGUGGUUGUACUCGCUACGCCGCCUGCCCAAAAGAACCGGUGCUCCCCGCCGCCUGCCUCUCUUACCCAUGUGAAGCUACCACUCCCUUCCUCCUCCGCCAGCCCCAAGAGUGCCCACCCCGUUGCCCGGUCGGCUGCACCAGCGCCUUGCCGGUGGCGCUCGUCGGCCCUCCCCGCCGGCCCCGCGCCGUGCCCGUCGUCUCCUCAAUCUGUUGUCAGGGGACAUGCCAGCGCCCUCCCAGUGGCCCUCGCCGGCCCUCCCCGCCGUCCCCGUGUCGUAUCCGCCAUCUCCCCAAUCCGCAGCUAGAGGACACGCCAAGAAGCUUCAGUCAUGAGGCCGUCGCGCCGGAGGUCUUCCAUCUCAGAUUUGUUUUCUUUACGGGUGUUGUCAAGAAUUUCAUCAUGGCCACUGCUUUCCCACCGAGGUAUUUGCCGCACGCAGCCAUGCACAAGUGUCGUCACUUGCAUCUCCUCUGUGCGUUCCCGUCACUCCAUGCUGCACGAGGCUGCAGUCACCACACCCUUGAGUAGGUAAUUCAUCAAUUGAUAGUUUUUGUCCCUGCCGUGACUUGCAUCUUUCUACCUUGCUUCAAAUUUAAUUUGAUUGAAUGUCAAAUAAAGAUCAACUUUAUCUCUGAUUGAUUCAUGGAAGUGCAAGCUGAAUUAUAUUCAGGAUAUUCUGAUUAUUACUUCCAAGUUAUAUUCUAACACAAUGUCUUUGGUUUAACAACUUGCAAGUGUUUCUUGUACUGAUGUUAACCUCAUAAAAAAGACUCCCAGGUGGACAUCUGCUAUAAAUAAUCAGGUACUUCUUUCUCAUUAUCAAAUUCGAAUGCUCAGUGAAACUAUCCAAUGGAUGGACUGGUUGUUUAACACUGAAUCAUCAACACUUUAUUCUCAUCUUAUCUCCUCUUCCAUUCACUGAAACAUCUGCAGUGCACGCUUGUUACUUCUUUGACUGCUUGAACAUAAAUAUUGAGAAAACUCAAUUUUCUAUGGGCAUGAAUAAUCUUUCGAUUCAUACAUAAAAUCAAAAUGUGGUUCCAGUUCCAGGAGGUAUGGCAUGAUUUCUCUGCUGGCGUGUGUGUGUGUUGCUUGUUUGUCUGUUGCCGGCUGGAUUGCACAGCGGCGAUGCCGGGAGCCGGGGGUCAUUGGAAAAGUGAGAUGCCGACGUCACUCAAAACGAUCCUUGCAUGGUAUUGACAGAAUCAUCCACAAAUUAUUUGAUGGCAUUGACCCUUGCUUGGCACGUGCUUGGCAUUGACUGAAUCCUACAUUGGCGAGCUUGUAUCCCGACCAACCUCUUUGUCUUCAUUCUUUUUUAGAAGCUAACUCACUUGGUUUGUGCGCUCCAAUUUGCAUAUAGAGAGGUUCAGAUGUCUGGCCAGCUAGGCACUGCCUAUUUCUCUAAACCUGAAAAUUCAAAAAUCACUUUAGUUUUCACUAACACAGCUAGGGCCAACACCUGCUAUCAAAAGAGCCUCAACAGUGGACGGGGUGGCGGAGUAGUCACGUACCAACAAUACAGUAACUGCUAGCUAUACUUCUGGAGCAAAUUCUUUGUCGUAGUCAUCAGGCCGCAGAUGGCGUUGCCGGGAUACACGCCCACCAAGGUCUCCGGCCAUAUAGGCCCGUGAGGGAUCCAGGGUGUUGCUCUAUGCAGCAUCAUGACCACAAUGGUGACUUUGUUUUGAAAAUACUAUUUGAAUGGCAUCACAACAUUGAGUACAUAUUUUUUUUCAACAGUUGCUUUAUUUUUAUACCAUGUGAAUCUCCCUGGGUUAGCGCUUGAGACGUGCGUUACACACGGUUAAUUUUUCACGAUUUAUUGUUGUUGCUAUUUCCCACGAGGUACUUGAUAAAAAGUGUUCGGCGUGUGGUGCUCUUCAAUGACUUGUUCUCUUUUGAAGAGCAAGCAGUAGAGCAUGAGAGUGCCGUGAUCCUCCAAAUUCCUGCUCGCUUCUAUACCCGUAUAUCUGUUAUUUUUGAUUGAUUUUAUUCCCUUGAAUGCUACAUAAGAGGUGUCUUUGCAGAGCUUAAGAACAAUUUAUUUGGUUGGAGCUAACUAAUACUGUAUUGCAAAGGGCCAGACAGCCAACCAACUACAAAUGGACUGCCCGAAUUUAUCCAUGUGUUGGAAUAGAUGAUAUUUGAUGAUUUGAACCUUGCAACGGGGUGUGAGACAUCAGCAUGCUCUGUACAUAAGCAGGGAGUUCAGGGGCAGAACUGAAGGUAGACUCGGGUGCAGUUAUCCACUCCUACUUGCUUUCACUAGAACAGCAUAUUACACUAUGAAAGCAAGAUCAUGCACUGGCAUCGGUUUUAUUACUCCACAGAUGUGGGUCAUCGGCCAUGACAAAAUAUGGGAUAACAAAUAUUAUGGAUACAAGAUGGCAACAUAAACUUCGCAAUUUUAUGAUUUGUGAUCUUGUAGAUUUUUGCCAUGCGGAGGACAAAUGAUUCUGGCUAUAUGCACUGGAGUUUAAUCCAUGUAAAUUUGGAGAAUCAUAUGUGUUUGAGAUGAUUUGAGAGUGCCCUUACCGGCCGUGUAGGUCCACGGUAAUUCAAUUGUUCUGAUUUGUGUUCCUUUUUUACUUAACGGAGAUGUAUUUUCACUAUUAAGUGUAAUAAUUAAUAACUAUUGGAUGU
Molecule: RNA transcript, 2749 nt
Organism: Triticum aestivum (bread wheat)
Lineage: Eukaryota; Viridiplantae; Streptophyta; Magnoliopsida; Poales; Poaceae
Exons: 3
Source: RefSeq, a predicted model, not a curated record